UGGGGAAUAUUGGACAAUGGGCGAAAGCCUGAUCCAGCAAUGCCGCGUGAGUGAUGAAGGCCUUAGGGUUGUAAAGCUCUUUUACCCGGGAUGAUAAUGACAGUACCGGGAGAAUAAGCCCCGGCUAACUCCGUGCCAGCAGCCGCGGUAAUACGGAGGGGGCUAGCGUUGUUCGGAAUUACUGGGCGUAAAGCGCACGUAGGCGGCUUUGUAAGUCAGAGGUGAAAGCCCGGAGCUUAACUCCGGAAUUGCCUUUGAGACUGCAUCGCUUGAAUCCGGGAGAGGUGAGUGGAAUUCCGAGUGUAGAGGUGAAAUUCGUAGAUAUUCGGAAGAACACCAGUGGCGAAGGCGGCUCACUGGACCGGUAUUGACGCUGAGGUGCGAAAGCGUGGGGAGCAAACA
This 402-nucleotide ribosomal RNA is filed under the name uncultured Sphingomonas sp. RNAcentral's name for it is "bacterial SSU rRNA". It matches the Rfam family "Bacterial small subunit ribosomal RNA", at positions 355 to 774 of the family's 1533-position model. Lineage: Bacteria; Pseudomonadati; Pseudomonadota; Alphaproteobacteria; Sphingomonadales; Sphingomonadaceae. The record is from RNAcentral.